Molecule: ribosomal RNA, 437 nt
Filed under: uncultured bacterium
Lineage: Bacteria
Description: bacterial SSU rRNA
Rfam family: Bacterial small subunit ribosomal RNA
Source: RNAcentral
GACGAACGCUGGCGGCGCGCCUAACACAUGCAAGUCGAACGAGCGAGAGAGAGCUUGCUUUCUCGAGCGAGUAGCGAACGGGUGAGUAACGCGUGAGGAGCCUGCCUCAAAGAGGGGGACAACAGUUGGAAACGACUGCUAAUACCGCAUAAGCCCACGACCCGGCAUCGGGUAGAGGGAAAAGGAGCAAUCCGCUUUGAGAUGGCCUCGCGUCCGAUUAGCUAGUUGGUGAGGUAACGGCCCACCAAGGCAACGAUCGGUAGCCGGACUGAGAGGUUGAACGGCCACAUUGGGACUGAGACACGGCCCAGACUCCUACGGGAGGCAGCAGUGGGGAAUAUUGCACAAUGGGGGAAACCCUGAUGCAGCGACGCCGCGUGGAGGAAGAAGGUCUUCGGAUUGUAAACUCCUGUUGUUGAGGAAGAUAAUGACGGUAC